CCCAGACAGCCAGGAUGUUGGCUUAGAAGCAGCCAUCAUUUAAAGAAAGCGUAAUAGCUCACUGGUCGAGUCGGCCUGCGCGGAAGAUGUAACGGGGCUAAACCAUGCACCGAAGCUGCGGCAGCGAACGUAUCACUUAAAGCGAUUCAGCGGGUUACGAUUGACGGAGCGAAGCGACGUCAAAGCGUAUACAAAGUCGAGUCGGUUUAAGGAUACGUUCGUUGGGUAGGGGAGCGUUCUGUAAGCCUGUGAAGGUGGCCUGUGAGGGUUGCUGGAGGUAUCAGAAGUGCGAAUGCUGACAUAAGUAACGAUAAAGCGGGUGAAAAGCCCGCUCGCCGGAAGACCAAGGGUUCCUGUCCAACGUUAAUCGGGGCAGGGUGAGUCGACCCCUAAGGCGAGGCCGAAAGGCGUAGUCGAUGGGAAACGGGUUAAUAUUCCUGUACUUGGUGUUACUGCGAAGGGGGGACGGAGAAGGCUAUGUUGGCCGGGCGACGGUUGUCCCGGUUUAAGCGUGUAGGUGUGUGUUCCAGGUAAAUCCGGUUCACUUUAACACUGAGGCGUGAUGACGAGGCACUACGGUGCUGAAGCAACAAAUGCCCUGCUUCCAGGAAAAGCCUCUAAGCAUCAGGUAACAUCAAAUCGUACCCCAAACCGACACAGGUGGUCAGGUAGAGAAUAC
This 679-nucleotide ribosomal RNA is filed under the name Salmonella enterica subsp. enterica serovar Anatum. RNAcentral describes it as "partial 23S ribosomal RNA". It matches the Rfam family "Bacterial large subunit ribosomal RNA", at positions 1084 to 1681 of the family's 2925-position model. Lineage: Bacteria; Pseudomonadati; Pseudomonadota; Gammaproteobacteria; Enterobacterales; Enterobacteriaceae. The record is from RNAcentral.